This 179-nucleotide ribosomal RNA is filed under the name Campylobacter fetus. RNAcentral describes it as "partial 16S ribosomal RNA". It matches the Rfam family "Bacterial small subunit ribosomal RNA", at positions 39 to 212 of the family's 1533-position model. The record is from RNAcentral. Lineage: Bacteria; Pseudomonadati; Campylobacterota; Epsilonproteobacteria; Campylobacterales; Campylobacteraceae.
GCGGCGUGCUAUACAUGCAAGUCGAACGGAGUAUUAAGAGAGCUUGCUCUUUUAAUACUUAGUGGCGCACGGGUGAGUAAUGUAUAGUUAAUCUGCCCUACACUGGAGGACAACAGUUAGAAAUGACUGCUAAUACUCCAUACUCCUUCUUAACAUAAGUUAAGUCGGGAAAGUUUUUC